This 434-nucleotide ribosomal RNA is filed under the name uncultured bacterium. RNAcentral describes it as "partial 16S ribosomal RNA". It matches the Rfam family "Bacterial small subunit ribosomal RNA", at positions 29 to 507 of the family's 1533-position model. The record is from RNAcentral.
AGCGAACGCUGGCGGCAGGCCUAACACAUGCAAGUCGAACGAACCUUUCGGGGUUAGUGGCGGACGGGUGAGUAACACGUGGGAACGUGCCUUUAGGUUCGGAAUAACUCAGGGAAACUUGUGCUAAUACCGAAUGUGCCCUUCGGGGGAAAGAUUAAUCGCCUUUAGAGCGGCCCGCGUCUGAUUAGCUAGUUGGUUGAGGUAAUGGCUCACCAAGGCGACGAUCAGUAGCUGGUCUGAGAGGAUGAUCAGCCACAUUUGGACUGAGACACGGCCCAAACUCCUACGGGAUGCAGCAGUGGGGAAUCUUGCGCAAUGGGCGAAAGCCUGACGCAGCCAUGCCGCGUGAAUGAUGAAGGUCUUAGGAUUGUAAAAUUCUUUCACCGGGGACGAUAAUGACGGUACCCGGAGAAGAAGCCCCGGCUAACUUCGUG